CGUAAACAACAGCUUACAUCAGAAGUGAGAUCAGGACUCUACUCUCACUGGCGUGACGUGUUUGAACAUGUUCGAAGUACAGCAAAAAAAACAUGAUGCAGAUCAGAAUACUAGUAGUGGUACGCCACAAGAGCGUGAAUGCAGCAUACGUAAGUCGUGUAAUAACGUCUCUGUUACCUCGAUGGAAGAUCUGAGCCACGAAGAAAUCGUCACAUCUUACGUUCUGGCUCAUGUUGCCCAGUUUGACUGUCGACGUCAUCACAUGGCGUUUACUAACGGAAAUACAACACGUAACAAGCUAUUGCAAGAAAUUAAGGCAAGUGCAAAUCUCAAGUGAAACUUCGAUCGCAAUAAUGGAUCUGUCAUGACGAGUGGGUAGUUCCGACACGAAUCGUUUUUAAGCCAAUGACUACUACUAGAGUUAUAUGGCACUAGUACAGUAAACCAGGACAUGAGACUGUGAAUUGUCGCUGAAAUUUUAGAAUCUACUCGAUUCAAUACCAAUAACACUACACGUUCGAUGACUUCGGGCUCCAGCAAGCAAGCAAACAAGAAAGCAAGUUUCCGUGGGGAAGAAAAAUUGACACAUCUGAAGUCGUCGUGACCUGUAAGAUAAGACGUCCGGUGCGUUCGUGUCUGGCGAUGCGGCGGUGUUCGGGUUCCGCUGGCGGAUGCAGGUUUUUCCGGUGAAGUGCGUGCUUGUGCGUGCUUGACAAGUGUUCGCGUUUGGCUUCCUCAGUGUGGGAGUAACAUCGUGUAAGAGAGGUGGAACCCGUAAAAUUGUAGUUUGCGUGGUGGCUGGUAAGAUUUGUUGCGGUAAGAAGUUUGCAUGGUGGUAAAAUGUCUUGUGAGUCUGCACAGGUAGCCGGAGGUGAGACUUCCGCGGUCGCGGCCCACCCAGUCCGCGAGAACCGGGCAGAUCGCCUCGACGGUACGGAGGCCGGCUGACGGGUCCGCCAAACGACGAGACCACGCCUCCAGCACGGACUGCCGAUAUUGGAGCCCCCGCGCUCCGGCUGCACUUGCGCUAGGGCGCGCCGCCUCGUAGGAGACUGUGAGGUGCUGUGGCAGGUCCAACCAGAGACGUCAACGUGUGUUCCAGAGCUUCAGUGUGUUACAGAUAAGUGGUUUUGGCUUCCCCUUUAUGUUCCAUUCAGGGUCAGAAUGUAGUCUUAUAAAACAAAGUCAUAGUAAUUUAUUCAAUGGUAAGCGGUUUCAUGAACAAGUCACUCUUUGAUCUGAAAGUAACUUAGACCAAUCAUGAUGGCAAGAGCACUUAGGGGAUAUUCAACUCGCCCUUAAUAGUGCACGUUGUCGAGUAACAGGGUUUACUCCAAUAGAAUAGACGUUUGCCGUUCAGGGUAGUUCACUUGAAAUAUCUAAAGUUUCAACAGAGUGAUAAUCCCUCUAGAUUAGAUCUUGAUUUAGCACGGUCGAAGACCGGAGAAAACAUAAAAAAAGGGCACAAACAGAAGCUUGGUUUAGUCGAGGCAAAGCUAAAGUCAAACUCUUUUCCGCUGGGGAUUUUGUUUUCGUAAGUUGACCGAAAAUGUAAAGGUCCCUUCAACAUUACUGCAGUUUUGGAAAACGAUAGGUAUAAAUUGAGACAUGUAAAUAGUUCUAAUAGAGUGUACAAAUUUCCCCAUGAAAACUUACGUGAAAAUACCUCGAGGCCCGUCAGGCCUACUAGAAAUUUCUGAAAAUUAUAGUGACGAUGACGUGACGGCGUACACAGAUGGGUUAAUUAAUCUUGUUCAUGAAACUGAUCUUAAUGAUGACGACUCUAUCACUGACAAUAGAAGCGACAUUUUUGUCCGCAAAUAGCGAUACAGCAAACAUAGUCUGUGGGUAGUGAUACAAUGUCUGUAAGCUCAGGCACCUCAGGUGCAGGUGUUGGAAAUGUAGAAAACGAUGGUCGGUCUCGCACUAUUUCUGAAGAAAUUCCGUAUAAAUGUUCUGGUUUAAGAAAUGUUUUAACAAACGCUACCGUACACGCAGAUUAAAAAAAAAAAAAGAAAAAAAAAAAGAGAAUUGUAUGUGGCUAGAGAGAUGUUAAUCCGGACUAGCAAAAAAAAAAAGAGAAAAAAAAAAAAAAAGUGUGAAGUCAUUGAAGGGUCUGUCCGGUCCAAUGGCUUGGCUAUAGGGAUUUUCAUCCAGAUUAGCCACAACAAUUAGCUACAGGGAUUGCGAUUCGGUCUAGCAUUAUCCGGUCCAGUUCGAAAAACUGAAGGGAUAACAAUUCAGGGACAUACUUACAUACCUGAAGAGUUUUAAAUGAACUGGCCCAGGUAUGUAAGCAGUCUGAAGGUUAUUUAUAGCCAGUAUAGGAUUUUCUGAAGAAUUAUGCGAACCGAACCGUACUAGAUUGUUAAUAUCAUAGACCACGUUUUAAGUUGCAUCCGUUAAUGUCAGGAUGAACGAACACGUUUGUUGUUCACAGACAUACCAUAAGAAUGCGCGCACGAGGACGAGCGCACGUCAGUAUGGCCGUGACGGCGUUAACGAUAUUUAUGUUAUAUAGCACGUGCAAUAGGAGUGACUCACACAAGCCAGGCGCGCCGGCCGUGUCGUUCCACUCGUAAACAACAGCUGCGACAGAAGUGACUCAUAAGCCAGCUGCGCCGGCUAGUAUAAAAAGGCGGAACGUGCCUUGAAAUGAACAUUCGUUGUACUGCGCUUGCCUGGUGCACUUACUAUAUCCUUGUUACGUUGUGUGAUUCAGUGACUGUUGUACGUACUGGUUAAAGUUGGACAAGUGUUAAAGUGAAUUGUUAAGAUAACAUAUUGUUGAUUAAAUCAGGAAUCAA
Long non-coding RNA from Bombyx mori (domestic silkworm), 2807 nucleotides. RefSeq lists it as uncharacterized. The record is from RefSeq and is a predicted model, not a curated record. NCBI's taxonomy places the organism in Eukaryota, Metazoa, Arthropoda, Insecta, Lepidoptera, Bombycidae. The transcript is spliced from 2 exons.